GUUUAUGAAUUGUGACGCGUGAAGGCUCGCGCAAAUUUGCCGUGGCAGUGAUGGGCGGUUGUCUUGGACGGGGAGAGCGAAGUGGCAGUUCUCGGCCUUCAAAUGGGGAAUAAUUUGUUUCAGCGAGUACCUUCUAAGGAGAUAACAAAAUGAACUCAAGGCCAAGAGGACAUUGAUCAUACAUGCACGUUGGACGAAAUCACAAGGGCUUUACGGAUGUUGAGAUUGAAGUCAUUAUUCGGAAGAUCUAAUGGCUUGCGGAGAGCUCAAAAGGCUUUUGAGCAGAAUUUAGAGAUUUGGAGAGGGCGCAUGUCCCCAAUCGCCGAAAGAAACACAUUGACUCACACUAAUAAAUCCGCCGUCAGUGAAGGUACAAGGCAUUACACAUUUCGAGUGACAGGACUGGGGAUCUUGCCAAAGAAUGCUUACGCAUUAAAAGCUUAAAAAAUAAUAAACGUUCACCCAGAGGACGUGACACACAUGCGCUGCUAUGCUGCGACUGAGGUGCAAUAACGUUAGGGCGCAGUUGAGAGCAUAGCUUGAUCCAAUGCCACGACGAAAUGCUCGCUUUUUGUAAGACGACAUGUGCGUCAUACAGACGAAACGAACGCGCCAGCAAAGUGGCAACAGAUAAACAUUUGAAGAAAAAAAAAAAACUAAGAAACAGAGAUGACAAAACACCAGGAACGUAUUGUGAAAAACUGACUUUGUCUCAGAAAACCUUAAAUAAAACUGCGCAUGAAACGUA
Molecule: long non-coding RNA, 748 nt
Organism: Dermacentor albipictus
Lineage: Eukaryota; Metazoa; Arthropoda; Arachnida; Ixodida; Ixodidae
Source: RefSeq, a predicted model, not a curated record